Sinocyclocheilus grahami is the source of this 542-nucleotide long non-coding RNA. RefSeq lists it as uncharacterized. The record is from RefSeq and is a predicted model, not a curated record. Lineage: Eukaryota; Metazoa; Chordata; Actinopteri; Cypriniformes; Cyprinidae. The transcript is spliced from 5 exons.
GAUGCAUUAUGAAUAAGGUCUGGAUACAAAAGGCAAAGCAAGCUACUUGUUCAAAGUGAUUCAUUCCAUCACCCACAGAGGUGAAGGGUAAAGAGUUAAUGCAACAUGCACUCUCUCUCUCUCUCUCUAGAAGACACAUUUGGCUGAGAACACCACAGAUGUUGGCUUCUAUUUUCUAAAGCCACAUUUUGCUGUGUCAGUCCCUCCCAGUGCAGGAUGAGCCUCUGCGUCGCAGCAUGACCCCAACUCUCACCUGAGGAACCAGCUUAGAUUGGCCAUUUGAAACCCUUGUCGUCAUCUGAUUGGUCAAAACAACCUAAGAGCACAUGAUAACUGAACUUGGAUAAGCUGCUGGGCAAGGCCAUUCAGGAGGCGGGUCCUCUGAGAAAGAUCCUCAAAGUCAUGCCGGAAUGGGAAGGCGAUGCUGUCAAUCACUACUAACUGCACCUAUGAUUGGAUGAUACAAUAACAUGAUGCUCGGAAAGGAAGCAAGGUAGGAGGUAAACCUCAGCUAACAGCUCUACAUAGUCAUGGCAACGGAC